Quercus lobata is the source of this 399-nucleotide long non-coding RNA. RefSeq lists it as uncharacterized. The transcript is spliced from 4 exons. The record is from RefSeq and is a predicted model, not a curated record. Lineage: Eukaryota; Viridiplantae; Streptophyta; Magnoliopsida; Fagales; Fagaceae.
AUGCUGCAUCUGCCCACCUAGGAAGCCAUGCGACGCCUCACCCAAUUGAAAAUGCUGGAGAUUUGGAAGACAAUGAGCAGUCCAAGAUCGACCAUAUUCCAUUUGUUGACAUACAGGAUAGCGGGCGGCCAGAUUGCUCUGAUUUCGAAGACGAAGACUAACUCAGGAAGCUUGCAAGAAGUUUGCAUUUGGGAAAAUAAUUGAGUUGAUGACAACUGUUGCCAAGGCACUUAAGGCACGAGGGACAACAUAUCUGUUGUGUUCAGCUGGAUGAAAAAUUUCAUUAUGAAGUUUUCAUCCACUCCCAAGCCAACAGAAGUUUUAGCUGCUAACAAGAAGAUUGCAUCUCAGAAAAUAGCGAAGUUGAUGACAACUGAUACCAAGGCACUUCAGGUUUGC